Salvia splendens (bonfire salvia) is the source of this 1074-nucleotide long non-coding RNA. RefSeq lists it as uncharacterized. The transcript has 2 exons. Lineage: Eukaryota; Viridiplantae; Streptophyta; Magnoliopsida; Lamiales; Lamiaceae. The record is from RefSeq and is a predicted model, not a curated record.
UUUAAAAAUCACGAACAUGUGUUCGAGUUUUCAUAUAAUACGAUUUGUAUUUUAAUAUAAGAAAGCUCACCUUGAUCGCUUACUUUCCUCAACUUGAAUCUUUCGUUCCGAUUUUACUUGCGAACGUACCCUUUUUAAAAUAUCACAAUAGGAAAAAUACCAAUUUAGUUAUAAACUAAUCUAAUUAAAUAAGAAAGAAAACUCAAAGUUUAAACUAAUCUAUUAUUAUUAUUAUUAUUAUUAUUAUUAUUAUUAUUAUUAUUAUUAACAAAUUUCCAAAGCUUACACUAUUUAUUUUAGCUUACUUAACCAUUUUAUUCUUAAGCCCAAAAUAAUAAAAAAAAUUUCGAAAUAGGCCUUACAAAAUACUAUGUAUUGAAGCCUCCAAUGAAUUUGAAGGAAUUGGGCUCGAAUUAUUAUAAUUUCUAAUUCCCUCCUCUUCUUAGCCCAAUAAACAGCCCAAUUCCUAAAACUCUAGCCCAAAGGAAAAAAAAAACUAACCCUACAUAACUAAGCCAUCAUCUUCUCCCUCAUUUCACAAAAUGCACAGCCUCCUUCUCUCCCCUCUCUCUCGUCGCCGAUCCGCCGCCCUGCCAGCGCCGCCGCUACGACGGCGUCCCUCUCCUCCCUCUCGUCUCUCUCCCUCUCCUAUCCCUCUCUCUCUUCUCUUCUCUCUUCAUCGUCGCGCCGCCAUCGUCACCAUCUUUCUCCCGCUCCGCCGCCACCGCCGCUGUGCAUGCACAGCCGACGGCUUUGUCGCCCUCCUCCCGGAAGUCCGCCGGUCUGCAUGCUCCGUCCCUCUCUCGGCCGGUCUCUCUCUCGGUUCGUCGCACCGACGCUGCGGAUCUGCCGCCGUCACGAGUCCGCCCCGCCGUCGUCGCCCAGAAUCUUCCCCCAUCCGCUGACGCCGUUUCUCGACAGGUAUGAUCGGCUCAAGUUCGUGGCCGUCCACGUUGAAGUGUCCGUCUUCUUAAGACAUACAAUGUAUAGAUGAAAUUUUCGUUUGACUUCGUUGGAUGUGUCGGACAUUAAAUUUUGGGAUCUUAUUAUUUAUUCAUUUAUUUAAAUUUAUUA